GCCCCCGUAGUUCAAGUGGAUAGAACGCAGCCCUGCGGAGGCUGUAAUCUGAGUUCGAGUCUCAGCGGGGGCA
RNAcentral lists this transfer RNA (73 nucleotides) under Microcaldota archaeon. RNAcentral describes it as "Candidatus Micrarchaeota archaeon (hot springs metagenome) tRNA-Arg". It matches the Rfam family "tRNA". Rfam says of the family: Transfer RNA (tRNA) molecules are approximately 80 nucleotides in length. Their secondary structure includes four short double-helical elements and three loops (D, anti-codon, and T loops). Lineage: Archaea; Nanobdellati; Microcaldota. The record is from RNAcentral.